RNAcentral lists this ribosomal RNA (805 nucleotides) under uncultured bacterium. RNAcentral describes it as "bacterial SSU rRNA". It matches the Rfam family "Bacterial small subunit ribosomal RNA", at positions 135 to 942 of the family's 1533-position model. The record is from RNAcentral.
ACUGGGGGAUAGCCCGGAGAAAUCUGGAUUAAUACCCCAUGGUACAUAUUGAGGGCAUCUGAUAUAUGUUAAAGAUUUAUUGGUAUGAGAUGGGCAUGCGUCUGAUUAGCUAGUUGGCGGGGUAACGGCCCACCAAGGCGACGAUCAGUAGGGGUUCUGAGAGGAAGGUCCCCCACACUGGCACUGAGAUACGGGCCAGACUCCUACGGGAGGCAGCAGUAGGGAAUAUUGGGCAAUGGUCGGAAGACUGACCCAGCCAUGCCGCGUGCAGGAAGACGGCCCUCUGGGUUGUAAACUGCUUUUAUCUGGGAAGAAAAAGGCCAUGCGUGGCAAAUUGCCGGUACCAGAUGAAUAAGCACCGGCUAACUCCGUGCCAGCAGCCGCGGUAAUACGGAGGGUGCAAGCGUUGUCCGGAUUUAUUGGGUUUAAAGGGUGCGUAGGCGGCUAUUUAAGUCAGCGGUGAAAGACUCCGGCUUAACCGGAGCAGUGCCAUUGAUACUGGAUAGCUUGAGUGUUGGAGGGGUACAUGGAAUUGAUGGUGUAGCGGUGAAAUGCAUAGAUACCAUCAGGAACACCGAUAGCGAAGGCAUUGUACUGGCCAACAACUGACGCUGAGGCACGAAAGUGUGGGGAUCGAACAGGAUUAGAUACCCUGGUAGUCCACACUGUAAACGAUGAUUACUCGCUGUUAUGGAGUAUUCUGUAGCGGCCAAGCGAAAGCGUUAAGUAAUCCACCUGGGGAGUACGCCGGCAACGGUGAAACUCAAAGGAAUUGACGGGGGUCCGCACAAGCGGUGGAGCAUGU